CUUUCAUGGAGGCGAUAUGGUUCAAUCAUCUCUUCAAAGAACUUCCAGCUGAAACAGGAAUUACAAUGGAGGCCUUGCUGCAGGUCUGUAGAUCUUCUUGAUACCUGUGGGAGUUGCAUGCACAGCCAGAUGUAAUAGUCUCUGCAGGUGAAAAUUCUGAAAAUACUUGUCUGCGCACAAGCAUGGCUUCAGCCUACAGCUAGUAUUAUGAAGUUAAUGAAAUACAUACUUUCAGAUCUCCUGAGAUAUUGGCUCCUGCAAGAAUGCCAGUGGCAGCUGGGAAAAAAAUGGCAAACACCGAGAAAAAUCCUUCUCCACUUCUGAAAUCUGGUCCAAAGUUUUCUGCAAAUAUUGAUGCUGCAAAUAUAGGUGAAAAUGAAAUACACUACCAGGACUUGAUUCCAAAGUUACUUAAUGAAGGAGGAAUGACUGUCCCAAUAAAAAAGUUUGCAAUGGCAACAAGGAGAACAACUAGAAGAAUAACUUGUGCCUAUUAAUAGAAACAAAAAGAGUUUCCUGAUGAUUUUAAUUUGCAGUGACUGUGGAGAUGGCUAUAUAGUUUACCUUUGCUUCCCAUUCCAUGCCAGCAACAGAGAUGCCGAGAAGACAUACAACAGUUAUGGUACCUAUUAUUCUGAUGUCAUUGGACUCAUCUACCAUCAGUGUAUCACUCUCCUGAAAGCAGUAGGAAAUGUUUGUUAUUAGAACCAGUCUUUCUCUGCCCAACUGGAGAGAUCAGGUAACAAGGUGAGAGAAAGCAGUGAGCUGUCAAAGUUUCAGAGAUUUGCAAGACCGAGUGUUUGUAUUUCAUGUUCCACCUGGCUCUUCGUAGUUGGGGUUAUUUGGCUGUCUAAUUAGAUGUCUGUUCCUUUUCUGAUUUUGAGAUUCUUGUUGAGAAAUGUAUGAGAUAUUUCCAUAAGGUAGAAAUAAUGGAGAAGCACUCUAUGGCAUGUUCAGGCAAACCAGCUUCUUCCCUGCUAAAGAUGUCCC
Molecule: long non-coding RNA, 990 nt
Organism: Harpia harpyja (harpy eagle)
Lineage: Eukaryota; Metazoa; Chordata; Aves; Accipitriformes; Accipitridae
Exons: 5
Source: RefSeq, a predicted model, not a curated record